UACGUAGGGCGCAAGCGUUGUCCGGAAUUAUUGGGCGUAAAGAGCUCGUAGGUGGUUUGUUACGUCUGCUGUGAAAACCUAGGGCUUAACCCUGGGCCUGCAGUGGAUACGGGCAGACUAGAGGUAGGUAGGGGAGAAUGGAAUUCCCGGUGUAGCGGUGAAAUGCGCAGAUAUCGGGAGGAACACCGGUGGCGAAGGCGGUUCUCUGGGCCUUACCUGACACUGAGACGCGAAAGCGUGGGGAGCAAACAGG
Molecule: ribosomal RNA, 253 nt
Filed under: uncultured bacterium
Lineage: Bacteria
Description: partial 16S ribosomal RNA
Rfam family: Bacterial small subunit ribosomal RNA
Source: RNAcentral